This 380-nucleotide RNase P RNA is filed under the name Candidatus Azambacteria bacterium. Its description in RNAcentral is "RNase P RNA component class A". It matches the Rfam family "Bacterial RNase P class A". From Rfam's summary of the family: Ribonuclease P (RNase P) is a ubiquitous endoribonuclease, found in archaea, bacteria and eukarya as well as chloroplasts and mitochondria. Its best characterised activity is the generation of mature 5'-ends of tRNAs by cleaving the 5'-leader elements of precursor-tRNAs. Lineage: Bacteria; Candidatus Azamiibacteriota. The record is from RNAcentral.
AAAAGGAAACGGACGAUUGCUCUUGCUCGAUAUAUCGAUAUUUCGAGAUUUCGAGUGGGGGAGGAAAGUCCGGACACCAACUUGAUAUAUCGAUAUUUCGAAAUGUCGAGUGAAAAGCGUACGGGCUAACGGCCCGCCGCGGAAUAAAUAACGCGAGAGGUGCGAACAGCGACGCCAAAUACCGAAAGGUAUGAGGCGCCCAGUAUGUAAUUUAUUAUGUGCCGGGCGAAUUCCAUAGAGAUAUGGAAGUGAAACGGCCAAAUCCUUACUGGGUGCAACCCUAUUGGGGCUAGAGCUCCGCAGUAAUGCGGAGCGGAGAUAGAUAAUCGUCCUCUGAUGAAAAUUGGAGACAGAAUCCGGCUUACAGUUUCCUUACAUAA